Molecule: transfer RNA, 64 nt
Filed under: Leptinotarsa decemlineata (Colorado potato beetle)
Lineage: Eukaryota; Metazoa; Arthropoda; Insecta; Coleoptera; Chrysomelidae
Description: tRNA-His
Source: RNAcentral
AUCUAAAUAGUUUAGAAAAAAUAUUGAUUUGUGGAAUCAAAGAAAUAAUUAAUUAUUUUAGAUA